AUUUAGGUUCAGUAACUCUCCCCUCCAUAUUCAGGUUCAGUAACUCUCCCCUCCAUAUUCAGGUUCAGUAACUCUCCCCUCCAUAUUCAGGUUCAGUAACUCUCCCCUCCAUAUUUAGGUUCAGUAACUCUCCCCUCCAUAUUCAGGUUCAGUAACUCUCCCCUCCAUAUUCAGGUUCAGUAACUCUCCCCUCCAUAUUCAGGUUCAGUAACUCUCCCCUCCAUAUUCAGGGUCUCAGCCCCCUCCAUAUUUAGGUUCAGUAACUCCCCCCUCCAUAUUCAGGUUCAGUAACUCUCCCCUCCAUAUUCAGGUUCAGUAACUCUCCCCUCCAUAUUCAGGUUCAGUAACUCUCCCCUCCAUAUUCAGGUUCAGUAACUCUCCCCUCCAUAUUCAGGUUCAGUAA
This is a long non-coding RNA of Coregonus clupeaformis (lake whitefish), 403 nucleotides long. RefSeq lists it as uncharacterized. The record is from RefSeq and is a predicted model, not a curated record. NCBI's taxonomy places the organism in Eukaryota, Metazoa, Chordata, Actinopteri, Salmoniformes, Salmonidae. The transcript is spliced from 3 exons.